GGCAUCGAUGAAGAACGCAGCGAAAUGCGAUAAGUAAUGUGAAUUGCAGAAUUCAGUGAAUCAUCGAAUCUUUGAACGCACAUUGCGCCCGCCAGUACUCUGGCGGGCAUGCCUGUUCGAGCGUCAUUUCAACCCUCAAGCCCUGCUUGGUGUUGGGGUCCUACGGCUGCCGUAGGCCCUGAAAGCUAGUGGCGGGCUCGCUAUAACUCCGAGCGUAGUAGUAAAAUAUCUCGCUAGGGAGGUGUCGCGGGUUCCGGCCGUGAAAGCCCAUCUUUUACACAAGGUUGACCUCGGAUCAGGUAGGAAUACCCGCUGAACUUAAGCAUAUCAAUAAGCGGAGGAAAAGAAACCAACAGGGAUUGCCCCAGUAACGGCGAGUGAAGCGGCAACAGCUCAAAUUUGAAAUCUGGCUUCGGCCCGAGUUGUAAUUUGUAGAGGAUGCUUUUGGUGAGGUGCCUUCUGAGUUCCCUGGAACGGGACGCCAGAGAGGGUGAGAGCCCC
Molecule: ribosomal RNA, 501 nt
Filed under: Sordariomycetes sp. genotype 76
Lineage: Eukaryota; Fungi; Ascomycota; Sordariomycetes
Description: eukaryotic LSU rRNA
Rfam family: Eukaryotic large subunit ribosomal RNA (bases 286-501)
Source: RNAcentral